Homo sapiens (human) is the source of this 1992-nucleotide long non-coding RNA. The record is from Ensembl. NCBI's taxonomy places the organism in Eukaryota, Metazoa, Chordata, Mammalia, Primates, Hominidae.
AAAGGAAUGAUUUCUAGCUUCCUGUAGACACCAUUAGCUAAAUUGCAGUAUCUGCUUCUCUUAUCGUCUUUGCCAGGGUCAUUGUUUCUUGCACUGAACCUCGGAGGAAGGAUGAGGAGAGAGGGCCUGUCUCAGAUACUUACCUGUAUAUACCUGUGGGAGGAAGAAGAAAAAGGUGUGUCCACCUAGAAUAAUUUGUUUGCUGGAAGUUCUGUUGUUGGCAGAAAAUGGAAGCUACAAACUAGUGUGGUUAUCAGCAGGGAAUGGGAUCAAAGUUUCAGUCCAACAAGUCCAGGCAACUUUCAGCUUGAAGGCCAAGGUGUUACUACUUAGAAUUUAGGGCACAGAAGGCUGGUGUGUGUCGGCAGUGAUAUUUGGGAGAAUGAGUCUGUUUGGGAGACACUUUAGGUCAUACCAGGGGCCUGGACUUCUCCAAAUGAUCUCUCCAGCAGAGAGGCUGGACAUCUUCUAUAGCACCUCAGGGCUCCUAAGAACGCGGAAGUAGGAGUUGCCAGGUCUUAUUAAGACUGAGUCCUGAAACAGGUGCAGCAUCACUUCCACUGCACUCUCUUGGUUAAAGCAAGUCACAUACCCAACCCAGAGUGGAGUACAUGAGGUCCUGACUUCCAGGAGGUGUGUACACCAGGAGGGGUGUUUCACUGGGGGCCAUCAAUGUAAUGAACUGUCAUAGCAAGUGAGGCAGAGCAUUGAUUCUAGCAAUUCUUUUAGAGACUCUGAGACCCUUGGAGACAGAACUGUAGAGAUCAUCUAGCCCAACUCAUUGAGGAAACGGAGGUCCUGAUGACUACUGUCCACAGGGGCCGUGUGGAUGCUCUGGGUUUUCGCUUAAAGAAGUGACAAGUUAAGGAACCAUAUAUAUUUUGUAGAGAAAAAGGUCUUGAAAUGGUAGUGGCCAAUUUUCAAAAAUUUCAAAUACAUAGCAUAUCCCAGAGAAUGAGGAUAUGCUAUAUUUUUAGACAAAGUAUGCUAAGUCACUACUGAUCAAACAAUCACUGGAAUGACUUGACAAGAGGAACAGAGUGCCACUUAUCUGAAUUCUCAGCCAAAUGGGAGGAUGUUUCUUUUCCUUUAUAGGCUUAUUGUUAAAAGGUGUUUUGUACAACCGAAUAAUUUCCCUCUAAAGAAAUAAAAGAAAUCCUGGGAACCAGUAAGAUUCAUGACUCCUGCAAAAUCCUAAAUUUCCCUCAAUAAUUUCCCUUUUCUAAAAAGAAAAAAAAGUCGCUGGAUGACCAAGAUUGUUCUAAAUUCCUGGGUUGGUAUUUAGGCUCACGGAGUAGUUUCUUCAGUUGAGGUUUCUGAGCAUCUUCUCAGGAAGAUGGCGCUGCCUCAGACUUUCCCAGCACAGUGCCCCUAGUGGCAGAAGAGAAGGUUGCGUGCUGCUGGGCUCUAGCUCUAAAUGUACCUGAAAAUACUUUUUCUUGAAUUCUCCUCUUAAUCUUUAAAAUUUAUGUUAACCUUUCCUUCUGCUCUAUGAUAUAUUCAUAAUUGUUUUAAAAUAAAAUAUAAUGUUUUAGAUUAUUCAUCACUUACGGGGAUAGUCAAGGCUAUCCCCGUUUCCCCCUCCCCUCCCCUCCCCUCCGUCUAAUUACUGGACAUCUUUGAAACACUUGACAAAAUCAAUUAUUUUUUAAAUUUUAGAUUAAAUUAUUUUCGGCAAACGUUUUAAGUCCCUCCCCUUUGACCUCCGUGGGACGAAUAUACAGUCAUAUACUACAUAACAACCUUUCUGUCAACAACAGACCACAUAUAGAAUGGUGGUCCCAUAAGAUUAUAAUGAAGCUAAAACAUUCCCACCACCUACAGAGGUUGUAGCCGUGGGAAAGUCGUAGCACAAUGCAUUACUCACGUGUUUGUGGUGAUGCUAGUGUAAACAAACCUGCUGUGCUGCCAGCCACAUGAAAGUCUAGCAUAUGCAAUUAUGUACAGUAUGUAAAACUUGAUCAUAAUAAUAAACUAUGUUACUGGUUUAUA